AGGAUGAACGCUGGCGGCGUGCUUAACACAUGCAAGUCGAACGGUGAAGCCAAGCUUGCUUGGUGGAUCAGUGGCGAACGGGUGAGUAACACGUGAGCAACCUGCCCUGGACUCUGGGAUAAGCGCUGGAAACGGCGUCUAAUACUGGAUAUGAGCCUCUUCCGCAUGGUGGGGGUUGGAAAGAUUUUUUGGUCUGGGAUGGGCUCGCGGCCUAUCAGCUUGUUGGUGAGGUAAUGGCUCACCAAGGCGUCGACGGGUAGCCGGCCUGAGAGGGUGACCGGCCACACUGGGACUGAGACACGGCCCAGACUCCUACGGGAGGCAGCAGUGGGGAAUAUUGCACAAUGGGCGAAAGCCUGAUGCAGCAACGCCGCGUGAGGGAUGACGGCCUUCGGGUUGUAAAC
Molecule: ribosomal RNA, 404 nt
Filed under: Microbacterium sp. P100
Lineage: Bacteria; Bacillati; Actinomycetota; Actinomycetes; Micrococcales; Microbacteriaceae
Description: bacterial SSU rRNA
Rfam family: Bacterial small subunit ribosomal RNA
Source: RNAcentral